CCUACGGGAGGCAGCAGUCGGGAAUUUUGCGCAAUGGAGGAAACUCUGACGCAGUGACGCCGCGUGCAGGAAGAAGGUUUUCGGAUUGUAAACUGCUUUAGACAGGGAAGAAAAAGGACAGUACCUGUAGAAUAAGCUCCGGCUAACUACGUGCCAGCAGCCGCGGUAAU
RNAcentral lists this ribosomal RNA (170 nucleotides) under uncultured bacterium. RNAcentral describes it as "partial 16S ribosomal RNA". It matches the Rfam family "Bacterial small subunit ribosomal RNA", at positions 338 to 524 of the family's 1533-position model. The record is from RNAcentral.